UGCCAGCAGCCGCGGUAAUUCCAGCUCCAAUAGCGUAUAUUAAAGUUGUUGUGGUUAAAAAGCUCGUAGUUGGAUCUCAACAGCCUUGAAGCGGUUAACUUUGUAGUUUUACUGCUUUAUAGGCUGUGCUUUUGCUGGAGGUUUAGGGGUGCUCUUGAUCGAGUGUCUCUGGAUGCCAGCAGGUUUACUUUGAAAAAAUUAGAGUGCUCAAAGCAGGCUAAAAUGCCUGAAUAUUCGUGCAUGGAAUAAUAGAAUAGGAUGUCGAUCCUAUUUUGUUGGUUUUCGGGACUCGACAUAAUGAUAAAUAGGGACAGUCGGGGGCAUUUGUAUUCAAACGACAGAGGUGAAAUUCUUGGACCGUUUGAAGACAAACUACUGCGAAAGCAUUUGCCAAGAAUGUUUUCAUUAAUCAAGAACGAAAAGUUAGAGGUUCGAAGGCGAUUAGAUACCGCCCUAGUUCUAACCAUAAACGAUGCCAGCUAGCGAUCUGCCUGCGUUUUUACUGUAGACUGGGCAGGAAGCUUCCGGGAAACCAAAGCAUUUGGGUUCCAGGGGAAGUAUGGUUGCAAAGCUGAAACUUAAAGGAAUUGACGGAAGGGCACCACCAGGAGUGGAGCCUGUGGCUUAAUUUGACUCAACACGGGAAAUCUCACCAGGCCCGGACACUGGAAGGAUUGACAGAUUGAUAGCUCUUUCUUGAUUCGGUGGGUGGUGGUGCAUGGCCGUUCUUAGUUGGUGGAGUGAUUUGUCUGGUUAAUUCCGAUAACGAACGAGACUCUGUCCUGCUAAAUAGUGUCUGCUUCUCUUUUGAGCAGACAAUUCUUCUUAGAGGGACUGGCGACUCUUAGUCGCACGAGAUUGAGCAAUAACAGG
RNAcentral lists this ribosomal RNA (873 nucleotides) under uncultured eukaryote. Its description in RNAcentral is "SSU rRNA". It matches the Rfam family "Eukaryotic small subunit ribosomal RNA", at positions 565 to 1460 of the family's 1831-position model. The record is from RNAcentral.